This 626-nucleotide ribosomal RNA is filed under the name Trichoderma viride. RNAcentral's name for it is "eukaryotic LSU rRNA". It matches the Rfam family "Eukaryotic large subunit ribosomal RNA", at positions 1 to 648 of the family's 3401-position model. Lineage: Eukaryota; Fungi; Ascomycota; Sordariomycetes; Hypocreales; Hypocreaceae. The record is from RNAcentral.
GUUGACCUCGGAUCAGGUAGGAAUACCCGCUGAACUUAAGCAUAUCAAUAAGCGGAGGAAAAGAAACCAACAGGGAUUGCCCCAGUAACGGCGAGUGAAGCGGCAACAGCUCAAAUUUGAAAUCUGGCCCCCAGGGUCCGAGUUGUAAUUUGUAGAGGAUGCUUUUGGUGAGGUGCCGCCCGAGUUCCCUGGAACGGGACGCCGCAGAGGGUGAGAGCCCCGUCUGGCUGGCCACCGAGCCUCUGUAAAGCUCCUUCGACGAGUCGAGUAGUUUGGGAAUGCUGCUCAAAAUGGGAGGUAUAUGUCUUCUAAAGCUAAAUAUUGGCCAGAGACCGAUAGCGCACAAGUAGAGUGAUCGAAAGAUGAAAAGCACCUUGAAAAGAGGGUUAAACAGUACGUGAAAUUGUUGAAAGGGAAGCGCUUGUGACCAGACUUGGGCGCGGCGGAUCAUCCGGGGUUCUCCCCGGUGCACUUCGCCGCGUCCAGGCCAGCAUCAGUUCGGCGCGGGGGAAAAAGGCUUCGGGAACGUGGCUCCCCCGGGAGUGUUAUAGCCCGUUGCACAAUACCCUGCGCUGGACUGAGGACCGCGCAUCUGCAAGGAUGCUGGCGUAAUGGUCACCAGCGAC